UGGGCCCUACGGGGGGCAGCAGUGAGGAAUAUUGGUCAAUGGGCGCAAGCCUGAACCAGCCACGUCGCGUGAGGGAAGACGGUCCUAUGGAUUGUAAACCUCUUUUGUCGGGGAGCAAAGCGCGGUACGAGUACCGCGAAGGAGAGUACCCGAAGAAAAAGCAUCGGCUAACUCCGUGCCAGCAGCCGCGGUAAUACGGAGGAUGCGAGCGUUAUCCGGAUUUAUUGGGUUUAAAGGGUGCGUAGGCGGAUUUGUAAGUCAGCGGUAAAAAUGCGGUGCUCCACGCCGUAUCGCCGUUGAAACUG
This 305-nucleotide ribosomal RNA is filed under the name uncultured bacterium. Its description in RNAcentral is "bacterial SSU rRNA". It matches the Rfam family "Bacterial small subunit ribosomal RNA", at positions 333 to 635 of the family's 1533-position model. The record is from RNAcentral.